AACCAAAAAUUAAUUAUAAUUUUACAAUUUUAUCAUUCAAUAAUUUAUAUUUUCUUACUAAUUGUAUUUUUUUAUUACUAAAACAUAAGUACAAUAUUUUAAAUUUCAAGAGAAAGGAUUACAACUCUUGGAUCAAAAAUUUUGAUUCUAUAAUUUUUUUUUUAAGAGAUAGCUAGUAUACUACCUGCAUCGUUUAUUUCAUUUAGAAAUAAAUUUUGCUGAAAAUGUGAAUCAAUUAGAAUUCGAAUUUGGAAUCUCAGAUACUAACCACCGAGUCCUUUGCUAUUUGCGCUAGGGACGGUCGGUUAUAAUUCUUUUUGA
This 321-nucleotide long non-coding RNA is filed under the name Ananas comosus (pineapple). RNAcentral's name for it is "long non-coding RNA (ACOM_LNC006205)". The record is from RNAcentral. Lineage: Eukaryota; Viridiplantae; Streptophyta; Magnoliopsida; Poales; Bromeliaceae.